This is a long non-coding RNA of Passer domesticus (house sparrow), 3948 nucleotides long. RefSeq lists it as uncharacterized. The record is from RefSeq and is a predicted model, not a curated record. NCBI's taxonomy places the organism in Eukaryota, Metazoa, Chordata, Aves, Passeriformes, Passeridae. The transcript has 4 exons.
GCCCGGCGGGGUGCAGGCCUCUCAAACGCUGUUUGCUGUUUCUGACACUGGCCAUUAAUUCUCCUCUGUCGCCGCGUUUAACCCUUCCCCGCCGGCCCCCGCACAGGCUCGGUGGGGUCCCGGCGUGAGGGGGAAGGAUGCCUUCCCACCAGUCAGGCCUGCUUUGACACUGCUGCUCCUACACCGGAUUCUAGCUUUUUCCUCAGUCAAGAGAAAAUUGAUUCUCGGCAUUUCUCAAGGCAGGAGGGGCUAUUGUGAAAAUUAAAUUUGAGGUGUUUAUUCUGACACCCAAUAUGGCCCAAGUCGGUGAGCCUGAUGUCUUCAAGCUGCGUUAUCUGUCCCCAGGCUGAAUUGUCUCACCUUUUCUAAGCGUAACUGAUGUCCCCAGAUAACUUCUACAAAAGAAACUGAUGUAAUUUUCUCACCUUUUGUAAACAUAGCUAAUGUCAUCAGAUAACUUCUACAAUAGAAGUUGCAUAAUAAAUGAAAGAACUUUGUGUGACACAAGUAUAUCUGCAUUAGCUUAAAAAAAUAUAGCAUCUCAGAAUCACAAGGAUUCACCUAAAACUCAUCAAGAACUAAGUAUAGCAUCAUGAAGAAUUCUUGCACUACUCUUGUCAUCCUCAAGUGAGUGGGAAUUACUUAUCAAAGUCACUGAAAAAGCUUCUAGGAAACUGUGUGUGGAUAGACAGAAUGAGGUUUCAGGACAAAUGUGUGGUUACAGCAAGUUCUAGAAGAGAUGUGUCUGCAUAAGAAAAGAUGGGGACACAGAAACACGUAUGCCUGUAUGCCUGGAAGGUCUGGAACUAAUGUGGAGAGGACACCUGGCAUAGCAGGAGCUGAGAUAAAGAAGAGCCCCAGAAACUGUAAAAGAGACAGAGAAGCGGUGUGGAAAAGCACAGCUAGAAGUUGGGUGGUAAUACAAGCUACAGACAGCUGUUUGAAAGUGUGACCUGAUAAACAACUUUAACAAAGGGUGCUGAAAUGGAAAUGAAACUUGUUUAUGAUGACAUUAGUGGCUGGAAAAAAUCUAGUGCAGCAAACACAGAAGUUCCCAGAGUAAUUUUGAGGAAAUGAAUUAAUUGAAUAGAUCUUGAAAGAAGGAUAUUCUUGGCCAACACAGACUAUUUGGAAGUGGUAGAAUGUUGCAAUGCCAUGGGCCCUCGAUCACUCAGGACAGCUUGUUGAAAUCACCCCACAACAAAGUCAGCUUGUAUUUCAGAAAAUGGUGGUAGGACACCAUGCAGAAUAGUUGAAUUCCAGUGGAAGAGAGAUGUAUUCAUAGCAGAGGUUGUAGUGGUAAUGCAAGUGAACAGUGUAGUUGCACGUAAACUGUGUAAGGAGUAUACAAAAUACAACAUUUGAUGCUGGUUUCCUCCUAUGGAAAAAUGAGUGUUUAAUCUGUUUAUUGAAGCUUGAAAAAGAUUUGUGGACCAAAUGUUUUAAGGUUAAGAAGUAGGCUGGAGGCUGUCUAUUAAUCAAUGAAUAAACGAUCAACAUAGAGCACUGAAUAAAGACAGCAAGAAGAUACUUCCUUAACAAUUGAUAUAAAAAAGAUGUACCUUACAAAAUUUCCAUGUUCAAAGCACAACAGAUUCUAGUUGAUCAGAUGAUGCAUAUAAGCUACUAGUAGUUCUGUGUGCUGCUUGAUUAUCUCACUUCAGAUAAUGAAGAAGACUGAUUGAAUUCUAAAAAACUAACAGGGAAAAAUUAUAUAUCCAGACAUUGUCAGAAGUAACUCCAUGAUGGAAGAGCAGAGGAGAAGCAAUACUAUAGCAGUACCACCAGAAACCUUAAUGAGGAAAGAUUGCUGCUUUUCCAUAAUCCAUUCAAAUAUACCUCUGCAAAAUAGAGAAUGUUGGCAAAGAAUCACCUCCACACAUAAUCCCUUUUAGUCCUAAAUUUUAUUCAUUCACACUCCCGGAUGAGUAACAUGUUGCUAAUGUCUUUUUCAACUUUGCAAAUAAAGAAACCAAACUCCACAACCCCUAAAGUUCUAAAACCAAACCCCAGAAAGUCAACCAGAAAGGAACACAGCAUAUAAAUAUUAAAAGCAGUAUUUGGGGAAAAAAAUCCCCAAACGCAAAAAAAUAGAUGGAAAUUUGUACAUUAACCCCUGAUAUAGGAAAUUAUGUGAAUUUGGAUUUGUUAUAGUAAAUUUCUUACUCUAUGUUUCUUCUUCCCACCAAAGAGCAGUGAGUUAUAAACCCUGCUGUUCCUGAACCCUUCAACUGUAUGAGACGACUAGGUAAAGUGGCUUUUGUAGCCUUCCAUAAGGAUUCUAGUGUUCUGUGAUCUUUAAAAAAGCACAGAGUGGGUACAAUGAAGAGAGUUAAAUGAAAAGAAAAAGCAUUAACAAUGGACUUCAUCUUAGUAUUUAAUUAGCUAGAGGCCAUGUAGGAAUAGACUAAAUAUCAGCAAAGGGUCCUUGAUUACAAUCUCAGAACAGAUGGGCAUUUUUAUCUUGAAAGGAUGACCAGCUUAUCUGUAGUUUUGCAGCUAUCAUGGCUGAUCUAUAUCUGCUUUAUCCAGGCUAAUCAAGUACAGAAAGUUUAUUAAGAUAAUAACACUGAAAGUUAUCACCAGUUAUGCUCUCUAAUCUUGAUAGAGUUUUGCUGUGUACUGUGUUUCAAGAGGUCUGUCAGCCAACAAAGGCUAAAGUUUGAGGGGUAUCAUUUACAGUCUACAGUGAUGUUUUUGCUGAAAAACAAGCAACUUAAAACCCAGUUUAAAUUAAUGACAGAAGGUUAUUGUGAUGACAACUCCAACAGGUUAAACACAGGCUCUGAAAACAGGGUAAAAGGUAGAAAUCUUCCCCCAGGACAAGUAGGCUGAUGUGUCUCCCACUGACUCCAGUUUCCUGGCACUGCCCACUAAACUGCCUUCUACAAACAUGGGAGAAGGGAUUCAGCUGGUAAAAAUCAGUGUAGCCACAGUAUUGGAAUCUAUGCCAGCUGAUGUAAUGAUACACAUAGCCAGUGGAUGUAAGCCUGGGAGAGCUGACUGUGGGGUAUGUAAAAUUAGCAUUUGCUUUUUUAAUGCAUGUACAUUCUAAAUAUUGUCAAAAUAGUCCUUCUGGGUUUUAUUUUUAAGAAACCUAAUUUUAAGAUUAAAAAAUAUUCAAUGUGAUGUUUUAAAUUUGGAUUUAUUUUAAAGCCGAAGAAUGAGAUGAGAGAUUCCCUCCAUCAUAUUAGCUGUCUGCAUUUUAGGAUAAUCAUGAAGAAUCAGUUGAUUUUUGUGAAGUCUUGUAUCUAUAUAAUACUGAGCCAAUGAUCUUGCUACUUCAUGAUACUUCAUGUGGAGAGAAGACUGUUCACAACAAGGAGAGGGACAGAGUUUUAAUAGUCUGAAAAAAAAAUUGUUUUUAAUAUUUUAUUCCCUGCCCCCCUCAAAAAAAAAAAAUCAGAGUACUGAACCCCAUUUUGCCUGAAGUCUGUUUGACCAUCCACACAUGUAGAACAAAGCACAGUCUAUACUGGUUGUAGUGCUGGGCCUUGACAAUUCAGAAAUUCUCAAGGAGAGUUGCUAUGGGGCUUUUGACUGAAAGAUCAAUGCUUAAAUAAAAUCUGUGUGCUGAUUACACAUCUCCACAUUCAAUCAAUGAGUCACUGAAAUUCCAGUACAAGCUAAAUAUUGAUGGCCAGGAAACAAAUGUGUACAAUAGCACUUGACUGCUUUUUUCUCUUCCUCUUUCUAAUUUCACCCAUUUAAUAAAUAUGAGGUUGUUACUGCCAGUUAUACUACACGUAGCCAGUCAUUGUGCUGUAAAGCGCUACCGUUUGCUGUUAUUGAUCUUACCUAUCUUUUUAAUUAUUGAAGUGACCUGAGGCUUGGUUUGGUCAGUUUUGCAGGUCAUUCUUCCACCAUAAUGAUGUGAAAAGUUAUUGUCAGGGUGAGGGAAUCAGAGUGCCCAUAGUUUAGUGCUCUUUUACAUGCCAAUUAUUCCCC